Long non-coding RNA from Ictalurus punctatus (channel catfish), 1000 nucleotides. Lineage: Eukaryota; Metazoa; Chordata; Actinopteri; Siluriformes; Ictaluridae. The record is from Ensembl.
UAUAAACCUCGUCUUUAAUCACACUGACAGCAUCUUCAUCAUCAUCAUCAUCAUCAUCAUCAUCAUCAUCAUCAGAUCAGAAUGCUGUGUUUGAUGGUCAUUGGAUUUCUUUUAUCCUGUGCAGAUUGUACCAAGUCAUAUCAGAGAAAAACUCUACACCAGAUGAACAGAGCUGCUUUUAAGGGGGAAACUGUUGUUUUUCACUGCAAUGGAACUCUGACUAGUGAACUUAAAGAUAUUGGUUGGCGUAAAGAUGGGAAUCUUAUUUUUAUCCAGAGCUCAGUUAUAAACCAAACUGUGUUCAACUACACAUCGAGCAGGAUGCAGGUUAAUCCCCGAAAUCCAAGAGAACUGCAGAUAUCUGAUGUACAGCUUUCAGAUAAAGGAUUAUACUUAUGUUUUCCAUUAGACAUGCAGUGGAUAUUGACCAUAGAAGCUUUAUCUUUUGACACCACAGAGAAUGAAAUACAGACCAGCAAAGGAAGGCUAUCCUACAUAGUUUUCUCAGUAAUCACAGUGUGUGUCUCAGUGUGUCUCUUUAUCUUCUGUGCCGUGUGUCUUCACAGAAAACAAGAAAACAGAGGAGCCUCAGAUCAAACACACACGGGCAAUAAGCUUGUAAGUUUUCACUUCACACAUAUUUUAACAUACAGUACUUUGUAAAAAUCCUCUAGCAUUUGUAAAGAAAUUCCAUCUGAUAAAAAGGUGACUUAAAAGAACAAGACAAUGUCAAUUUUCCUCAUCUAAAACAUGACUAUACUGUGUAGUGUUAUAAGGAAUCCAGACGGUAUUUUUUUUUACCGCUUAGAGAACCUUCCUCAGUUUCUCUGCAGACUUUGCUCUUUUGUAUGAUGUAGUAAUUCAAAAGACAUAAAAUAAGCAUCUAAGACUUUUUAAAAUAAAACCUUUUACACAUGUGCCCUGUGAUGGACUGGCACCGUGUCCAGGGUGUACCCUGCCUUGUGCCCGAUGCUCCCUGGGAUAGGCUCCAGGUUCCCCG